UUUGGAUUACAUGGACGGUUUGUUUGUCUACCAAGGGUUUGUUAAAGGUUAAACAAAAGGCUUGUAUCUGCUGCCUAGGGUUUGUAAAAAGUUCAAUAGAACACCUGUAUAUGUACAUAGGGUUAGGGUAUUUUUGUCCGCCUUUCUUGCCGUGAACAUUUGUUUUCUGAUCUUUUGCAUCGCAGCUUCAAACAAUGAAAUUGUCAGGUGCGGCAACGGUGUAUCACAGAGUACGAUGGAAGGUUGAUGUCGAAUAUUGUGUCUAGAAUGGAUGGAAUUGGAAAGAUCGCUGGAGUGUGAAAGCAGCAAGGCAGAGGAAUAGAGUUGUUGAAGAUGACAGCAACAAUAAACAUUAUGGUUGUUUGCUUUUUCAAUGGCUUAGGCAAAACAACACUGGCCAUUGAUGAUGUUUUCAAAGGCUUUGGGAAAACAACUCUAGCAAUUGCUGGUGUUUAUGAAGGCUUUGGCAAGACAACAAUAGCCAUUGUUGUUGUAUUUGUAAGCUUCGGAAAAACAACUCUAGCAAUUGUUACAGUUUCUAGAGUCUUUGGGAAGACACCUUUAGCCAUUGUUAACAUAUUUAAAAGCUUUGGAAAGACAACUCUGGCAAUUGCUGGUGUUUCUAGAGGCUUUGGGAAGACAACACUAGCCGCGGUUGAUGUAUUUAAAGUUUUUGGAAAAACAACAUUAGCAAUUGAUUGUGUUUUUGGGAGCUUUGACAAGACAACACUAGCUAUUUUUGGUGUUUUCAGAAGCUUUGGCAAAACAAUGGCAACAAGUGUUGAUGUUUCAAUGGGGUUCUGCAAAACAGAGCAAGUUCUUUUCGGUGUUUGAAAAGGCUUUGGCAAAACAACACUAGCUAUUAUUGAUGUUCCUAGAGUUUUUGACAAAACAGCAUUAGUUUUUGUUUAGGUUUGUAUGGGCUUGAUAAAAACCACUUGUUACCAUUUGACUGCUAAAUUAAAUCUCAAAGACUACAAUUACACGGCUUGGUACA
This is a long non-coding RNA of Cryptomeria japonica (Japanese cedar), 997 nucleotides long. RefSeq lists it as uncharacterized. The record is from RefSeq and is a predicted model, not a curated record. NCBI's taxonomy places the organism in Eukaryota, Viridiplantae, Streptophyta, Pinopsida, Cupressales, Cupressaceae. The transcript is spliced from 3 exons.